AGUCUGUAUGUCCUGUGGCGCUUAGAAAGUCGUCUGCAAACAGCAUCAUCAAACCCUACAGAGCCGGCCUGGACCUCAGGGUGUUAGACGACGAGGACCUAGAUAGGCUAGAACAGAUGGAAGAUUCAGAAGGAACAGUGAGACAGAUCGGAGCGUUUUCUGAAGGCAUCAAUAACCUGACACACAUGCUGAAAGAAGACGACAUGUUCAAGGAUUACUCAGCCCGAUCCCCCAGCGCCAGUAUUACAGAUGACGACUCCAACGUGUGACGCAGUCCAGACGCCAUUUAUAAGAUUUUUAUCUCAUGUGUUAAAAAAAAUGAUUCUAUAAAUAUAAUAUUUUUUUGCAUCACUGUUUUUACGCUCAGUGUUCCGGGGGGGGGGGGGGGGGGUGGGGCACGAAUGUGCCUUGUAAAGUGACAAUAAAUAUGGAAGCCAGAUGUUUGGGGCUAAUCCAACAUGGCUGCCGCCAGUGUGUGGACACUUGAAGUCAUUGAGCUCUAUGGAAUAGGAUCUGGGACAGGUAUUAGUCAGUGACUAAUAUGUUAUAGUGACCCCUGCAGGCGGCAGUGUGUGUGAACAGUGCUGGGUUAUGUGUGAAGCACAAUAAAUGUGUCCCCUGUUUUGGGGACGCUGGCCCUUUAAGAUACUGGAGCAUUAUUUUGGGGGUUUUCUCUCUUCUCCAUCCACCCCGCCAUUGUCAUUUUUGAUAUUCACGAUUUUUCGCGCUGUUACUUUUUAUACAAAAAUUUCUAUUUAAAACUCGCACAAAAAAGAAACCAUUUUAUGAAGAGACCAUAGCUAUAGUUUUCUACGCCAAUAUUUUCAGUUUACGUGCCAGCUGGGUUCUGGAGGGGGGGGGGGGGGGGGGGGGGUCCAGGUCCAGGUUUAAAAUUAAGCAAUAUCCCAGCAGGGGGCGACUCAGGGGCUGCAGUUACUGAGGAUGUUUUUGUUUUUUCUCUUAAAGGAGAAGCGCUCUCUUAUUGUAGCUUCCAUUUAAAGGGCCAGCGGCCUGGUGUGGUUCCUUCUGAUAUUUAUGCUUCUUGUUUUGUAUGUUAUUUAUGAUCGUGUUCUGUAGGGGGCGCGCGGCGCGGCUGACGGGUGAUGUGUAAGGGAGGGGGGCGGUCCCGGGGCCCCCCCUGGGGGUUAUCGUAACACUAUAAAGUGGACUGUAUAAUGUACCAGAGCACAGAUGUUAUGUCGUCUAUAUAUGUGAUCUAAUAAAAGCUUAUUGUUUACCUACCGGGUGUUCUCCGCUUUC
Long non-coding RNA from Hyla sarda, 1260 nucleotides. RefSeq lists it as uncharacterized. The record is from RefSeq and is a predicted model, not a curated record. The transcript has 3 exons. Lineage: Eukaryota; Metazoa; Chordata; Amphibia; Anura; Hylidae.